CCUACGGGGGGCAGCAGUCGGGAAUAUUGCGCAAUGGGGGAAACUCUGACGCAGCGACGCCGCGUAUAGGAUGAAGGUUUUCGGAUUGUAAACUCUUUUCGUUAGGGAAGAUAUUGACAGUACCUCAGGAGGAAGCUCCGGCUAACUCUGUGCCAGCAGCCGCGGUAAUACAUAGGGAGCAAGCGUUAUCCGGAUUUAUUGGGUGUAAAGGGUGCGUAGACGGGAAAUUAAGUUAGUUGUGAAAUCCCUCGGCUUAACUGAGGAACUGCAUCUAAAACUGUUUUUCUUGAGUACUGGAGAGGAAG
This 305-nucleotide ribosomal RNA is filed under the name uncultured bacterium. Its description in RNAcentral is "bacterial SSU rRNA". It matches the Rfam family "Bacterial small subunit ribosomal RNA", at positions 338 to 660 of the family's 1533-position model. The record is from RNAcentral.